Molecule: ribosomal RNA, 442 nt
Filed under: uncultured bacterium
Lineage: Bacteria
Description: partial 16S ribosomal RNA
Rfam family: Bacterial small subunit ribosomal RNA
Source: RNAcentral
CCUACGGGGGGCAGCAGUGGGGAAUAUUGGGCAAUGGGCGCAAGCCUGACCCAGCAACGCCGCGUGAAGGAAGAAGGCUUUCGGGUUGUAAACUUCUUUUGUCAGGGAAGAGUAGAAGACGGUACCUGACGAAUAAGCCACGGCUAACUACGUGCCAGCAGCCGCGGUAAUACGUAGGUGGCAAGCGUUGUCCUGAUUUACUGGGUGUAAAGGGCGGGUAGCCGGGUUGACAAGUCAGAUGUGAAAUCCUGCGGCUUAACCGCAGAACUGCAUUUGAAACUGUUGAUCUUGAGUACUGGAGAGGCAGACGGAAUUCCUAGUGUAGCGGUGAAAUGCGUAGAUAUUAGGAGGAACACCAGUGGCGAAGGCGGUCUGCUGGACAGCAACUGACGGUGAGGCGCGAAAGCGUGGGGAGCAAACAGGAUUAGAUACCCCAGUAGUC